Molecule: transfer RNA, 74 nt
Filed under: Pontiella sulfatireligans
Lineage: Bacteria; Pseudomonadati; Kiritimatiellota; Kiritimatiellia; Kiritimatiellales; Pontiellaceae
Description: tRNA-Gly(tcc)
Rfam family: tRNA
About the family: Transfer RNA (tRNA) molecules are approximately 80 nucleotides in length. Their secondary structure includes four short double-helical elements and three loops (D, anti-codon, and T loops). Further hydrogen bonds mediate the characteristic L-shaped molecular structure. tRNAs have two regions of fundamental functional importance: the anti-codon, which is responsible for specific mRNA codon recognition, and the 3' end, to which the tRNAs corresponding amino acid is attached (by aminoacyl-tRNA synthetases). tRNAs cope with the degeneracy of the genetic code in two manners: having more than one tRNA (with a specific anti-codon) for a particular amino acid; and 'wobble' base-pairing, i.e. permitting non-standard base-pairing at the 3rd anti-codon position.
Source: RNAcentral
GCGGGCGUAGUUCAAUGGUAGAACCUCAGCCUUCCAAGCUGGUUACGACAGUUCGAAUCUGUUCGCCCGCUCCA